GCGACCUCGGAUCAGAUAGGUAUACCCGCUGAACUUAAGCAUAUCAAUAAGCGGAGGA
This 58-nucleotide ribosomal RNA is filed under the name Calophyllum inophyllum. Its description in RNAcentral is "partial 28S ribosomal RNA". It matches the Rfam family "Eukaryotic large subunit ribosomal RNA", at positions 1 to 57 of the family's 3401-position model. Lineage: Eukaryota; Viridiplantae; Streptophyta; Magnoliopsida; Malpighiales; Calophyllaceae. The record is from RNAcentral.